Molecule: ribosomal RNA, 498 nt
Filed under: uncultured bacterium
Lineage: Bacteria
Description: partial 16S ribosomal RNA
Rfam family: Bacterial small subunit ribosomal RNA
Source: RNAcentral
AUUGAACGCUGGCGGCAUGCCUUACACAUGCAAGUCGAACGGUAACAGGUCUUCGGAUGCUGACGAGUGGCGAACGGGUGAGUAAUACAUCGGAACGUGCCCAGUAGUGGGGGAUAACUACUCGAAAGAGUGGCUAAUACCGCAUGAGAUCUACGGAUGAAAGCAGGGGAUCGCAAGACCUUGUGCUACUAGAGCGGCCGAUGGCAGAUGAGGGAGUUGGUGGGAUAAAAGCUUACCAAGCCGACGAUCUGUAGCUGGUCUGAGAGGACGAUCAGCCACACUGGGACUGAGACACGGCCCAGACUCCUACGGGAGGCAGCAGUGGGGAAUUUUGGACAAUGGGCGAAAGCCUGAUCCAGCAAUGCCGCGUGCAGGAUGAAGGCCUUCGGGUUGUAAACUGCUUUUGUACGGAACGAAAAGCCCCGGGUUAAUACCCUGGGGUCAUGACGGUACCGUAAGAAUAAGCACCGGCUAACUACGUGCCAGCCGCCGCGGUAA